GACGAACGCUGGCGGCGUGCUUAACACAUGCAAGUCGAACGGAGUGGCGAACGGGUGAGUAACACGUGGGUGACCUGCCCUCCACUUCGGGAUAAGCACGGGAAACUGGGUCUAAUACUGGAUAGUGUGGGAUGGGCCCGCGGCCUAUCAGCUUGUUGGUGGGGUAAUGGCCUACCAAGGCGGCGACGGGUAGCCGGCCUGAGAGGGUGGACGGCCACAUUUGGGCUGAGACAGGGACCAGACUCCUACGGGAGGCAGCGGUGGGGAAUAUUGCACACAGGGCGGCAGACUGAUGUAGCGACGCCGCGUGGGGGAUGACGGCCUUCGGGUUGUAAACUCCUGUCGCCAUCGAAGCGGGAGAUGGAGAAGAAGCACCGGCUAACUACGUGCCAGCCGCCGCGGUAAUAC
Molecule: ribosomal RNA, 408 nt
Filed under: uncultured bacterium
Lineage: Bacteria
Description: partial 16S ribosomal RNA
Rfam family: Bacterial small subunit ribosomal RNA
Source: RNAcentral